Toxorhynchites rutilus septentrionalis is the source of this 4637-nucleotide long non-coding RNA. RefSeq lists it as uncharacterized. Lineage: Eukaryota; Metazoa; Arthropoda; Insecta; Diptera; Culicidae. The record is from RefSeq and is a predicted model, not a curated record. The transcript has 5 exons.
CAGACUCAAUAUAACCUGCUUUUAUGGGAUAUCCAUCGAUCGCUAGGCUAUUCCACACAUCAGCUAACGAUUCCCAUGCAUACUCAAAAUGUUUAAUUUCCAGUUCCGAGUCCCUUGUUUUGAAUUUUUCAUUCAAGUGAGUUCCCUCUAGAUCAGAUCAUACUCAACCUGUGGCCCGCGGUCCACAUGCUGUAGUGUAUAAUAACGGCUGUCAAAUGACAGAUACUUUUAUUAGUGUAAUAUUAUGUGCGAUUCACAUAGCACGUUACGGAGAAGAACGUCUACGUUCCGUCAACGUCUCCACCAAUUCACACAUGCAGUCAAUGCUUCCCCCAGCACCGUCACGUCAAAUGCCAAACGAAUGAUUUAUUUAAUUUUAUUCAUGGUUUCGCCACCUACAACAAUUUUAAAUUGUAAUGCCCUCUUACAAAUCAGCAUGCCUAGAAUCAGUUCUAAAUUUGGAAAAAUUCAAUGAGAAUCAUUUAAUUCAAUUAUUAAAAUGCUUAAACCCCGUAGUCCGACCCUUAUGCAACAAUAAUAAUGAAUAGAAUAAUUCUUUCAACUAGUCGCGAAUGAUUUUCACUCCGAAUGACUUAGCUCCAAAGAGAUAUGUUGGCAUAAAAAGUACAGUAAGUUACUUAUAAAGCGAUAUGCUGAGGCACCACUCAGUGUCGCAUUGGAGUCGGUUUUGACCAGUAAUUGGACAUUUGCGACUGGUGGCGACUUUCAAUGUGGGGCCAUAAUUUGGGCCCCGAACUCAAUGUCUACAAAAAUGUCCAACUAGAGGUAAAAAUGUCUAAUUAAACGUGUUGCAUAACAGAUCUGUUCAAUUAGCUUAAUCUCGAUGUAGAUGUAAAUUACUGUGCAACCAAAUCAAAACAAAAGCCGAGACACAAAGCCCAGACAAAAACCAAACGAGCCGUCCGUCUCCGUCAAUUAUUCUUUUCUACAAACCCUGCCGGUCGUUUUCGUUGAACGUAUGCUGACGGGUCGUUACGUUGCUGGUGUAUGUGAAUGUUUUCAUGAGAAUUGCAUGGUAGAAUCAUUGACGUAUCGUGACGUGACGGGACGUGAACGUGACGUGUAUGUUGUAUGUGAAUCGCACUUUAGUGUUGAAAAAGCAUAACGCUCAUAACGCAUGUCAACGAAAUAAAACAAAUAAACUGCCCACAAUCCAAUCGACGAAAAAAACAUCGACCUAACAACGACCGUAAGGCUGUUACCUAUUCACGAUGACGACGAUUAGGUAUCGACAUCUGGAUACAGCAUUAGUUUGUAUGAGGCAAACUAUUCUCUAUCAUAUUAGUCGGCCCGAAUCAGUUUAUAUUUGCUAAAAUUUGUAUGAAAUUUUUUUCUUUGCAUAUUUUUUUCUGCUUAAAGUACGUUGUCAUGACCCUAAUUUGAAUUAUUUUCUAUAGACGUUCAGAUAUUCUCAAAAAAAACUUGUCAUUAUAAUAUAAAAUUAUCUCAAAACAUAUUUUUAUGGCGUUUUUUCACCACUUGCAGGCAAUGGUGAUUUUCACUUACAUAGAGUACUAAUUUGAUUAAGGAAAAAUCAUGUUCAUUCAUAAUUUUCAUUUUAAAAGUGUAUUCAUUCCUUCUGCAAAUCCAUACUGUCAUGCCUAUUCCCCAAUAUCGUCAACGCGGAUAGUUCGUUAGUCGAAAAUACUGAAUAAUUAAACAAACCAAAUGGCAUCACUGGUGGUUCUUUUUUCCACUCCGCUAAACUGUCAUCUCAAACAAAAACAAAUGGAUCAUACAACUGCCAUGAAUAAAUUCGACUCGUUUGCUUCCAUCAAUCGCAGCCAACAAGUUUUCCUGCAGCAGUAACCUCCAACCCCUGUUGACAAUGCCGGGGGACAGCAUCAACAGCAGCAGCAGCAGAAUUUGACCAUGAUAUGGUAUUGCGAAGAACUUUCCCCAUUAGAGGUUCCGUGCUUCUCGCACAUUCAAAAAUCCUCUUCAGACACGAAAACUCAACGACAAGGAGGUAUUUAUCAAGCUCAGCUGAAUUACCACCCGGAGGAACCCGAAUACACUGAUUCCGUUGUAUAGUAGAAUGAAAAUAGGCGAGGUAAGCGAACGUAAUCGCAUGAUAUUUUAAUGUUCACAUUUUUAUCCGGAUCAUACAACUGCUAUGAAUACAUCCUCAAUCAAUCGGCGAGUGAGAAAGAUGAUUUCCCUCAUCACCACAUUACCACAUUACUUAUUUACACUUCUGUCACACCAGCCAACAGCAUCAGCUUUCCCGCAGCAGUAUCCUUUAAGUCCAGGCUGCUAUUCCGGGGAACAGCAUCAACAGCAACAGCAGCAGGACCUGGCCAUCGAUAGUAUUUCGAGCAAUUUUCCCCCUCGGAGAUCUCGUGCUUCACGCACAUAGAAGAAUCCUCCUCAGCCACAUAUCUGUGUCAUCAAGGGCGAGGAGGUAUUCAUCAAUGUACUCAGUCGUAUUUGAAUCGUCAAUCCAGACAACCCAGAUGCACCGAUUCCAUUAUAUACCUUAUUUUUAUUAUACAUGGUUUUUUAUUAUUAUUUUUUUCAAUAAAAUGAUUAAAAUCGAUCAAUGUAUUUCCUUUUCAUUUUCAAUAACAAACCAAUACAAACAAGCAGCAAGCAGUGCUGGAAGCAGCGCUGCAAGCAGGUCGACGCCUUGCACAUGUUGGCGAAAAAGUGGCGUCAAGUUGUUCGAUGAAUGCAUAUGAAAGGUCGAUAACUCGAUUGCAAGGUGGCAGCAUUUGAGGUCGAUUGUUGACAUUUCAUCGACCCGAUCUUGGCAGGCAAAACGGAAUGUGGGUGGGAGCAGGUCUUCCUCUAUUUAGAGGCGAAUGAACUGAAAAGUUUAAAGCCUCUUUAAUCCAACAUCAUCAUCAUUCCUCUAUUGACGUUCAACACUCAACCUGGAAAGUCUUCUUUAUUUCGAUCCGAAACGUUAAAGGUUAUAGAUGUAAAAGUGGCGACGAGGAUAAAAAAAAGUGAAGUAUUUAGUGGAAAGUAUAGCGAAGAAAUAGUUUUUUAAAAGAAAAGGCGGCAAAGAAUAGUUUUAGCAAAAAAAGUGGGCAGGAGUUUUUUGUUCAAAAAGCUAGAAAAGAGGACAAACUAUUCAUUGGAAAAAGUGACAAAAAAAGAAAGUAGUUUCUAGACUGGCAGAAAGUGGCAGCGCUCAUUGUGCUCGAAAAACAGCUACAACGAAGUGCUCUUCCAUCUACCGGAGAAAUUCCGCUGAAUAUCGCUGUUUCCCGUAAACGGAAAUUCACGCAGUCCACCGCAUUCCCGCAAAUAGCGGAACACAAGGAUUAAAAACGAAAUCGCUCGACGGAAAUUGGCCGUGGACUACUGGCACUGAUAGAGGGACAAGAAAACCUGGUAAAAUUUACUUGUUCAUCCAGUUGGUGAGUGUUUUUUUUUAAUUUUUUUUAUUAAAUUUGAAUCUGAAACUAGAUUUUUUUAUAUAAAUAAAAGUGAAGACAAAUUUUGUGAGGAUUAUGGAACAGACGUUGCUAUCCACAAUUGAGCCCUAUAGAAAGGGAGUUUCUUUUGCCGAGUGGGCAGACCGGUUAGGAUAUUUUUUUAUUCUGAACCGAGUAAAGGAAGAGGAGAAAAAAGCUCAUUUGAUUAUGCUUGGCGGAGCAAUUGUUUUCAGAGAGCUGAAACUUUUGUUCCCCAAUGAUAAAUUGGAGACUGCAAAUUAUCCCGAUUUAAUAAACAAGCUAAAAUCUAGAUCGGAUAAAACAGAAUCUGGGCUAAUGCAAAUAUUCAAAUUCAAUAACCGUGUUCAGCAACCCGAUGAAUCCGCGGAAGAUUUUGUUCUCUCUAUUAAAUUACAAGCGGAAUUUUGUGCAUUCGAAAACUUUAAACAGACGGCAAUUAUGGAUAGGAUCGUGGCCGGUUUACGUGAAAAAUCUCUUCAACAACGUUUGUUGAAUGAGGAAGAUUUAACCCUAGAAACAGCAGAGAGAAUAAUAACCACCUGGGAAUUGGCUAGUGCAAAUGCAAAAUCCCUUGGCGGAAACCCUUCCAUUGAUAGAAUAUCCUCAAUACAAAAUUAUGAUAAAGCAAAUGGUGGUAAAGUUAUGGAAAAACUAUUGAAUACAUAUAAAAUGGCGGAGAUGAAGAAGGGAUCCAGUAAAAAACAGAUUGGGAUUCAAAGGUAAAGGGUUCCAAUCAAAUUUUAAACACAAUUAUGGAAAUGCCAACCGGAAUCAAAAUUUUAAAUCAACUUACUGGAGAGUUAACCAGCAAAAUAAAAACUCGGAGUUUUCAGCUAUUGAUUGCAAUUUCUGCGGAAUGAAGGGCCAUAUUAAAAGGAAUUGUUUCAAAUUGAAAAAUAUGAAAAGAGAUUCGGUGAAUUAUUUAGGCAGACCAGGAACCAGUAAGGACGGACUAAGCGACCUACUCAAGAGGAUGAACACGGACGAUCAGGACAGUGACGACAACGAUGAAGGUGAUUUCCAGUGUAUGUAUGUUUCGUCAAUUAAUAAAAUAAGUAAUCCAUGUUUGGUGGAGACACUAAUCGAGGGAAAGCCCAUAAAAAUGGAGGUAGAUUGUGGAUCGUCAGUUUCGGUUAUGAAUAAAAAUCAAUAUUUUUCAACAUUCAGUAAAAAUGUAUAAACAGUUGAUUGUUGUGAACGGGCAUAAAU